GACGAACGCUGGCGGCGUGCUUAACACAUGCAAGUCGAGCGGUAAGGCCCUUUCGGGGGUACACGAGCGGCGAACGGGUGAGUAACACGUGGGUGACCUGCCCUCAGCUCUGGGAUAAGCCUGGGAAACCGGGUCUAAUACUGGAUAUGACUCCAUGACGCAUGUUGUGGGGUGGAAAGCCUUGUGCGGCUGAGGAUGGGCCCGCGGCCUAUCAGCUUGUUGGUGGGGUGAUGGCCUACCAAGGCGACGACGGGUAGCCGGCCUGAGAGGGCGACCGGCCACACUGGGACUGAGACACGGCCCAGACUCCUACGGGAGGCAGCAGUGGGGAAUCUUGUGCAAUGGGCGAAAGCCUGACGCAGCGACGCCGCGUGAGGGAUGACGGCC
This 387-nucleotide ribosomal RNA is filed under the name uncultured bacterium. RNAcentral's name for it is "bacterial SSU rRNA". It matches the Rfam family "Bacterial small subunit ribosomal RNA", at positions 28 to 416 of the family's 1533-position model. The record is from RNAcentral.